RNAcentral lists this ribosomal RNA (271 nucleotides) under uncultured bacterium. RNAcentral's name for it is "partial 16S ribosomal RNA". It matches the Rfam family "Bacterial small subunit ribosomal RNA", at positions 87 to 354 of the family's 1533-position model. The record is from RNAcentral.
CCCGGCGACCGGCGCACGGGUGAGUAACACGUAUGAAACCUGCCCGUAGCAGGGGGAUAAGCGGAAGAAAUUCCGUCUAAUACCGCGUAACAACCCAUGGAGGCAUCUCUGUGGGUUUAAAGGAAGCGAUUCCGGCUACGGAUGGUCAUGCGUCGCAUUAGCUUGUUGGCGGGGUAACGGCCCACCAAGGCGACGAUGCGUAGGGGUUCUGAGAGGAAGGUCCCCCACACUGGUACUGAGACACGGACCAGACUCCUACGGGAGGCAGCAG